AUGCCAGUUCAACCAAGAGAGAAGACAAGAAACUGAAGCACACACAUACACGCAUACACCACACACACACACACACACACACACACACACACACACACACACUUCUCCAACCAGUGGAAGCCAAGCCACCCUUCAGGAAGAAGGCUUCACCCUGACAUCCAUUCUAUUUCAACCAUGGACACACUCCAACAGAGCCAGUGCCGGCAGGACAUUGUGAAUGGACUUAGGACCCUCCAGGGUGCAGCUGGCUCAUGCAGCAACCUCCACUUUCCCAGAAGACCUUGAGUGGGACUUUCUGAAACUGAAGGAGAAACCCCCUCUUUCUUUCCACCACCCCUGCAAGUUUCCUCACCACUUGCAAGGAGCAGGCUGCAGGUUUCCUGUCUAAGGGGAGAUCGGAUGUGGCCAAGGGAAAGAGCCUGCGCUCCAGGGGACGCUCACAAAGGUCCCUCUGUGAGGAGACAAAAACACCUCCGACUCUCAGAUCGCAGCCCUUGGCGGGACUCAGCAUACACGCGCUGGUUUCUCGGUUGUCCUUCGAGUGACAGCUUCUCCCGGAACUUGCUGAGGAGGCAGAAAGGCUGUGGAAAGCUGUGUUUCCCUUCUUGGUUCUGCGCACUCUCAGUGGGCACUGGUGAUUUUCCUGAAGCCUUCUGGUGGCUGUGUGUUUGUUUAGAGCCGGCUCCAAGAGCCCCCAAAGCUGCCUACAUAGCACACCUUAGAUGUGGUAUUUAUUUUCUUAGUUCUGUGAACACCUGGGAGGGAAAGCAGAGAAACUGAGAUUUAUUUUUCAAAUUGGUGUCAUAAUAUUGUGUAAAAAGGGAAGAAAAAAAAAAAACCACCCCCAGCUUCUUUCUUUUUCAAGCCACAGCGUGUUUCCUGUUUGAGUUCCAAGCCCUGGUGGCAGACUAUUCCUGAAGGCAAAGAAGAUGGGAGGGAAGGGCCUUUUGCUGAGGAGACCAGGAGACAAGGCGUCAGGCAGUUCCCUCCUGCCUCUGCAACAACCACUCCCCAAGCACGACCUGAAGGCCCUACUGAAGGGCUUAGGUGUGUGUACAUAUAUGUAGCAUAUAUAUAUUUAUAUAUACAAAUAUUUAUUUACUGGUGGAUUUUUCUGGAUUGAAAAAAACAUGCAGUACAAGAACAGAAAGUGGGAAAGAAAAAGAAGGCUCUGACUCCCCGUUUCUGCCAUUUCAUUGUCAAGGCACAUCGCCCCGUGGUGAUCAUGAGAUUUAAGGGAAAUUAAAGUAUCUCCUUAUCAUAAAGAGACUGAGAAUUUCUAUUCUGGAUCCUCAAAACAACAUGAAAGCUAUGCUGGGCAAGAUUUACUCUCCCAUUUGUCAGAUAAGGAAACUGAGUCUCGGAAAAGUUAAGAGACUUGUCCAUGGUAUCUUGGCUAAUGUGGUUUGGGACUAGGUACCACUAAGAAGAUAUGUAAUAGAGAAAAGAACCUACACAUCUUGGAAAAGGGUCAUUUCUGGUCACUGAGAAGCGAUUCCAUUUGGAUCCAGGUUACCAGGGAGGAAUGAACGUGUGGCACAUGUGUGGACGGGACAAGCCCACAUGAGAGAAUGAGGCCUCCCAAUACUUCCCAGAGACUCUCUCUGGCCUGACCUGGUGAGAAGUUGGUCCAGGGCUGAAGGCAGUGGACAGAUCUUCAGAUUAAACUCUCCACAUAUCAUCUCAUCAUGGUCAUCAUAGUCUCUUAAUCUAAAAACACCUCUGGCUGCCCGGAUGACCUCAGUGGAGAGGCACAAGGAGGACAGAGGCACCUCAGCAGGGAGCUGCCAGCCAGUGCCCAGAGGGGCCUCAGCAGGGAGCUGCCAGCCAGUGCCCAGAGGGGCCUCAGCAGAGUUCAGUGGGCUUCAUUCAGCUGGCAAGAGCAUCACCGCCUUCCCCGAGGGCAAGUCUGUGGAGAGCUUUGUUGGUAGAAAGAAACAUUCACCUCGGCACCUUUGCUCCUUCAGCCUCCAUCCCCUCUGAGAUUUCUGAAAAGGAAACCUGGACCCACUCGACGUCACUCCACUGAGCUCCCUCUAAUCUCCUAACACUGGGUCAGGAACUUUGCGCAAGGAAGGGAAAAUUAAGGUUGUGUGUACAAACUGAUCCUAACUCUGAAAGAAGCAGUCAUCUAGGACCGUCUAAGACAGAGAUCUAGAACCAUCCUGUUCAACCUAACAGUGCAGAACACUGGGCAAGGGGAAAGCAGCCCACCUGAAGAAUGUCCUGAAAUGAUGGGCUCCUUGGGGAUGGGACUAACAAGCUCAGAAUGACAACAGGUACUAUCUUGGAAGCCACUUAAUUCUGAAAUGAAGGCAGGUUCAAUUUGGGGUCACUGAUUCUAAGACAUUUGCAGAAAUUCUUGCAUGUGUUUCAGCCUCAACCCCCCAAGAUUGAGGCUGUUGAGAACAUGGCACUAUCAACAGGUGAAAAUGAUUCUUAGAGACUCACAAGUCAGAGACUGGCCCCUGCCUGCCCACUGUGGUGCACAGGACUGGCAGUGUUGCUUGAGAGACAUGUCCCAUGUCCUCCUUAAAGCCACAAAGUAUAGCAAACAUCGGUGGAAUUGUACUUUCAAUUUUGUAACCUCAAAAAAAAAAAACUGGUACCAAGUGGUUAUCAGAAAAUGGCAUGAUCUUCAAGAAAAGAAAAAUUUUCCUGAGUGUUUCUACAUAAAAUUGGAGGAUCAGAGGGAUCAUAAGAGAUAUCUACCCACUUUGUUAUCUCCAGAUGGCAAGAGGCAGGAGAUCCAACUAAAGAGAAGAGGAUCCGACAGCAAGUUGCUGACCAGCGUACAGCACAUCUGCCCUCUCCUGUGGAAUGGGAAGAAGUCACCUUGUGUGCCUCUCUGUACCGUCAUCCUCAAUGCUCGAAAACAAGACCCUUCUAUCUUGGAAAAAUCUGGCAAAUGUUCCAUUGAGGCUGCUGAGGAAGGAAGCUAUGGUGGUUUGAAGGAAGAAACCCUGCCUGGGAAACAAGAGCAACAAGGGGAGAGGGCUACAGUCCUGUCUCAGCCGUGUGGCCUUGGACAUGUCCUGUAGCCUUCUGGGACCUCUCUUUCUCCAUCUAUCACACAAGGGGGGCUCUGAAGACCUUCCCACUUCACCAAUCUUGCCUUCACCUGGAGUAAACGCUGCCAUCCUUGUUCUCAUUCAGAAGUGCCUGGGAUCUGAAAACACACCAACACACUCCCAUCAGAAAUCUUUACUUGAUGUCCAUGGUGAGCUAAUGGAGAAAUCUACCUCCCAGGAAUGCGUGGGAGUUGAACCAAACUUUCUCCAGCUCCCUGGCCCACUGAAGCUAGUCUUCUGCCCACCCAAGUAUCACAUGCCCUGUAUCUGUGUGCCUACGUUUUAGCAAACAUGCAGCACGGUUGGAGAAGUCAGAAAGAUAAAAAUUCCUAGUGGAAGAAAAUUCGGAAGAGAUCUUUGUAUUUUGUUUGUUUCCUACUAAGGAAUUCUUAGAAGUUCAGAACCUUCCAUAAUAAGCUGUCAUCGGAUACAGUUGUUUCCGAAUAAGGCCUCAGCUUUGAUUGCAGGGUUUUAAAGUGUCUGAGGGAGGAAUGCGAUGUUUCAGCAUUCUCUUAGCCCAGCCCUGUCCCCCACCAGGCUGAGGGGGGUGGGGUGCGGGUGUGGGAAGCACAGCGUUGAACUAUCAGUUAUGGAAACCCAGUGUGUGCAAAUUAAACCAUUUAUUAAACUCCUGAAGAGAGAUCGCUUAAGAUCCCUGCAGUGGAUUCUGAAAAUAUAACCCAGUACUCCCGCUUCAUUUCCAUGUCCUGUUAAGCGUGAGUCUUCUGGGUUGGGCUGUCCUGAGGACAGGCACAUCUAUUUAGAAUUCUGGGUCAAGAACAUGCCUUAGCAACUCCUCAGCCACCACUUCCUCCCCCUUACUUGGUGUUCAGUUCCUCUCAACAAACUGCAGGUGAGCCAUGACGGUGUCCUCAUCCACCUCAGUUUGUAAGUGAGGAAUCUGAGGCUCAGAGAGGCCAAGCAACUUGCCCUGAGAUAGCUCAGCUCGAGUCAGAAUUCCGAUUUGCUGACCCCAAAGCUCCUUCCCGGGGGACCGCUUCACCAAGGGAGCUGGCCUGCACAGAAGACAAUGUCUGCCUAUUCCUACCAGUUUUUAUUCAAAGCAACUGCUACUCUCUACUCAUUAGAUCCUCUAUCUUUUAACACAUGUAAUUUAAAAGCCAAACAAUACUAACCCAAUCAAUUCAAAUGACUUUUUGAAAACCUCUAUGUUUCCUUGGAAAACUGUCUUUUAGAUUCCACCAUUACCAAGUGGAACUGCAAGACCUCCCUGAUGUUGAUAACACCUCUGUGCUCUGAGUUUUACUGCCUCUCCCAGGAGCCAGAUGGAUGCCUCUGGCCCAGCCCUCCCUUUGCCUGACAGCUGUCAUUCACAAUGGGAGGGAGCCUUUGACCCUCAGCUGAGACAGGCAACAAAGUAUGGCCAGAUUUCCAACAGUCACACCUAUACUACACACACACACACACACACACACACACACACACACACA
Physeter macrocephalus (sperm whale) is the source of this 4522-nucleotide RNA transcript. RefSeq lists it as uncharacterized. The record is from RefSeq and is a predicted model, not a curated record. The transcript is spliced from 6 exons. NCBI's taxonomy places the organism in Eukaryota, Metazoa, Chordata, Mammalia, Artiodactyla, Physeteridae.